CAAACUGUGCUUCAGGUGCCUUCCUUCCCUUAGCCUAAUUUUCAUUGAGAAAACAAUCACUUCUUCUUGAGGCUGUCUUUUUUGGGAUGAGGAAAAGGGGAACGAGAAGAGCCUUUCUCCUUCAGUUUUAAACCACGAGAAGGCACAAAAACAAAACACGUGAUAGGGGAUUCAUCCCAGCCCCAGCAGCCCCCUUAUCUUCCUUUUCUUUUAUUUUUCCUGCUGGCUUCCUGCUCUGGAACUCCUUGGCAGCUCCUGGGACAACAUCUGAACUUUGCAAACGUGAAGGAAUUCAAACGGAGGCCUGGACGUCAUCGCGUUUUCCAAGAAUUUGGUUUUGGGAAGAGUGGGAAAACCUCAGUUCCAACUACUGCCAGCCUGUGCUUAGCACCAAGAACCCAUAUCAAGAAUGCAGUGGUUACAUCAGGUGAGGCCUCACAAAGCAGCUCGUGUCCUUUCCAUAAUCUUGUUUCCUCCUGCCAAAACCCUCCCAUGGAAAUGGGAUCAGCAGGGAUGCGAUGUUGCAGGGCUCCCAUUGCUCUGCAGUGACUCCUGCAGUGAUGGAAGCCUGGAAGUGAGCAGGAAAAUCUGGGAGCUGCUGCCAGAACUGCAACAGAAAUGAGGAGACAGGAGGAUGGAUGCUGUAGGUCCCCCUGAGGUGGGGCAGGGUUGGGAGGCUUGGAGGCUGCAGGGAGGAGGAAGAGGAUGAGGAAGAGCAGCUCACUAGGUGGCAUUCUGCCCUCUGAUUUCAGCUGGGAACAUGGGAAGUGGGGCUGGGGAAUGGGAGUGGCUUCCCACAGGAAUCUUAUUCCCACAGAGGACCCAACACUCCUGGUCAUCCUGGGACCUCAGGCAGGUGGCUGACCGCCCAGGAGCCCCUGGUCCCAAAAAAGCCUGGCUCUAGAUCUCAUAUUUUUGGGGCAAAGCUCAAACUGGUGAGCAGAAUACGCCUGCAGAGUUAAUAAACCAAAUUAACCAGUCA
This 982-nucleotide long non-coding RNA is filed under the name Parus major (Great Tit). RNAcentral describes it as "lncRNA (ENSPMJG00000009826.1)". The record is from RNAcentral. Lineage: Eukaryota; Metazoa; Chordata; Aves; Passeriformes; Paridae.